Long non-coding RNA from Cervus elaphus (red deer), 1047 nucleotides. RefSeq lists it as uncharacterized. The record is from RefSeq and is a predicted model, not a curated record. Lineage: Eukaryota; Metazoa; Chordata; Mammalia; Artiodactyla; Cervidae. The transcript has 3 exons.
AUACACAUUGAACAGAUAAUGGGAUUUAGAACUGAAGUAACUGAGAUUUGAUAUCUGAUUCUGCUACUUAAGUUAAAUAGCCUGGAGCCUCUUUUUUAUUAUAUAUAAAGAUUCUAGCCCUGGCCUCUGGUAUUAUUUCACUGUGAGCUCCAUGUACCUUGGAGAAAUAUGAUCAGCACCUCCUCCAAAGUGUGGCUACUAUCAGAACGCCCCAUCAGAGUUCUAAUGGGAAGAAGAAAAAUGGCUAGGAAGAGGUCUUGUUCCCUCGCCCAGAUAAGAUGUGUGAAGACAGACGUAUAACAGACCGACUGACACUCAGUGAGCUGACCACUGAUGGACAGCUGUAUCACCUCUCUUUGUUUAUGAUAAAGUCCCAGCUAAGUGCCAGAACCUUUUCUUUAAUAGCGUCUGUUUAUUCUCUGUCCUUGAACCAUUGUCCAUAGAUCGUUUAGAAGCUGUAUCUGUCCAGCUUCUCAAUUCCCUUUCUAAACCCCAUCAAAUUAAUAACUCCUUAUUAAUGGUAUACAAUGUGCUUUGUACUCUUCCUUAUUCCUUUAACUUAAUGUUUCUAAAACUUCAGUCUUUCAUUUAUGAUCAUCACAAUUUUCACAAUGUCAUCGUACCAACUGGGCUGUUAUUUUUAAAAUAAUUUUAAGUUGACUCAUAUUCCUUUCUUCAUAGUGCCUACUUUAACCUAGUCCUAAACUUUAUUAUCCAUGGAAUUGUUGAUUUUUUUUUUAAUAGUGUGUCUGUGUAUCAUCAACUAAAAUAAUCAUGUAAACCCCCAGUGGCAUGCUAACCACACUUGAACAACCACAGCAUUCUUGGAGUCAGCUUAGUUAUCACCUAGUAAGAAUGAUAAAUGUACCAACAUAGAAGCUUGCCCUACAGAACAUAAGCUGCUUUAUCUCCUAUCUCAAAAGGUAGUCUUAUUUUUUUGUAAUCUCUGGUAAAUAGACACAUUCCAAGAUGUGCACAACGAAGAAUAUUUGAGGAACUCUUCUGAAUUUUAGUUUAACUUACUGAUUUGUUUCACAGAUUAAAAAA